GGGCGUGUGGCUCAGUUGGUAGAGCGUUCGCUUAGCAUACCUUCCCCCAUACCCACCCCCAUUACGGGGCGUCGUUAAGGGGUGCAGUUGUAUGCGAAAGGUCCUGGGUUCGAUUCCCAGCUCGUCCA
Diplogelasinospora grovesii is the source of this 128-nucleotide non-coding RNA. The record is from the annotation of a GenBank genome assembly. Lineage: Eukaryota; Fungi; Ascomycota; Sordariomycetes; Sordariales; Diplogelasinosporaceae.